CCUACGGGGGGCAGCAGUGAGGAAUAUUGGUCAAUGGACGAGAGUCUGAACCAGCCAAGUAGCGUGAAGGAUGACUGCCCUAUUGGUUGUAAACUUCUUUUAUAUGGGAAUAAAAUGUUCCACGUGUGGGAUUUUGUAUGUACCAUAUGAAUAAGGAUCGGCUAACUCCGUGCCAGCAGCCGCGGUAAUACGGAGGAUCCGAGCGUUAUCCGGAUUUAUUGGGUUUAAAGGGAGCGUAGGUGGAUUGUUAAGUCAGUUGUGAAAGUUUGCGGCUCAACCGUAAAAUUGCAGUUGAAACUGGCAGUCUUGAGUACAGUAGAGGUGGGCGGAAUUCGUGGUGUAGCGGUGAAAUGCUUAGAUAUCACGAAGAACUCCGAUUGCGAAGGCAGUUCACUGGACUGCAACUGACACUGAGGCUCGAAAGUGUGGGUAUCAAACAGGAUUAGAUACCCCAGUAGUC
This 460-nucleotide ribosomal RNA is filed under the name uncultured bacterium. Its description in RNAcentral is "partial 16S ribosomal RNA". It matches the Rfam family "Bacterial small subunit ribosomal RNA", at positions 338 to 795 of the family's 1533-position model. The record is from RNAcentral.